Molecule: long non-coding RNA, 233 nt
Organism: Empidonax traillii (willow flycatcher)
Lineage: Eukaryota; Metazoa; Chordata; Aves; Passeriformes; Tyrannidae
Exons: 2
Source: RefSeq, a predicted model, not a curated record
CCCGGGACACCCCCUGGCCACGAGGAGGAGGAAGAGGAAGAGGCGAUGGAGUGCGGGACCCCCCCGGCCCCCCCCGACGGCUGGACCCUCGUGCAGCGGCGGCGCCGGCGAUGAGGGGGGGGAGGGGUGUCGUGUGUGUAAACCCCCCCCAAAUUGGGGGACACCCCUCCCCCACCCUGCUCCCCAAACUGGGGGGGAAUAAAGGCCCCUCCCCCCACAAGGGGGCGUGGGAA